AGACCCGAAACCCGGUGAUCUAGCCAUGGGCAGGUUGAAGGUUGGGUAACACUAACUGGAGGACCGAACCGACUAAUGUUGAAAAAUUAGCGGAUGACCUGUGGCUGGGGGUGAAAGGCCAAUCAAACCGGGAGAUAGCUGGUUCUCCCCGAAAGCUAUUUAGGUAGCGCCUCGUGAAUUCAUCUCCGGGGGUAGAGCACUGUUUCGGCUAGGGGGCCAUCCCGGCUUACCAACCCGAUGCAAACUGCGAAUACCGGAGAAUGUUAUCACGGGAGACACACGGCGGGUGCUAACGUCCGUCGUGAAGAGGGAAACAACCCAGACCGCCAGCUAAGGUCCCAAAGUCAUGGUUAAGUGGGAAACGAUGUGGGAAGGCCCAGACAGCCAGGAUGUUGGCUUAGAAGCAGCCAUCAUUUAAAGAAAGCGUAAUAGCUCACUGGUCGAGUCGGCCUGCGCGGAAGAUGUAACGGGGCUAAACCAUGCACCGAAGCUGCGGCAGCGACGCUUAUGCGUUGUUGGGUAGGGGAGCGUUCUGUAAGCCUGUGAAGGUGUGUCGUGAGGCAUGCUGGAGGUAUCAGAAGUGCGAAUGCUGACAUAAGUAACGAUAAAGCGGGUGAAAAGCCCGCUCGCCGGAAGACCAAGGGUUCCUGUCCAACGUUAAUCGGGGCAGGGUGAGUCGACCCCUAAGGCGAGGCCGAAAGGCGUAGUCGAUGGGAAACGGGUUAAUAUUCCCGUACUUGGUGUUACUGCGAAGGGGGGACGGAGAAGGCUAUGUUGGCCGGGCGACGGUUGUCCCGGUUUAAGCGUGUAGGUGUGUGUUCCAGGUAAAUCCGGUUCACUUUAACACUGAGGCGUGACGACGAGGCACUACGGUGCUGAAG
Molecule: ribosomal RNA, 881 nt
Filed under: Salmonella enterica
Lineage: Bacteria; Pseudomonadati; Pseudomonadota; Gammaproteobacteria; Enterobacterales; Enterobacteriaceae
Also listed under: 1 other name
Description: partial 23S ribosomal RNA
Rfam family: Bacterial large subunit ribosomal RNA
Source: RNAcentral